RNAcentral lists this non-coding RNA (27 nucleotides) under Homo sapiens (human). Lineage: Eukaryota; Metazoa; Chordata; Mammalia; Primates; Hominidae. The record is from RNAcentral.
UCUGAAGUUGACCUGAGACACUGGAGC